CAGGGUCAGUGUUCCCGGGUAGGUGACCAUAAAACACCACGUGCUCCCAGGAACCUGGGGGAAAAGCCACCUCUGCCUACAGCCAGCACGCCCACUGUCAUGAUGGGUGCAGAGGGAUGAGGCAGUCGGGUAUUCUGCUGUGGUUUGGGAGCCUGUAAAAUGUGCGACUAGGCCGGGUAUGGUGGCUCCCAUCUACAAAACCAGCACUUCGGGAGGCCAAGGUGGGCGGAUCACCUGAGGUCAGGAGUUUGAGACCAGCCUGGCCAACAUGGUGAAACCCCAUCUCUUAAAAAUAUAAAAUAUAAAAAUUAGCUGGGCAUGGUGGCAGGUGCCUGUAAUCCCAGCUACUCAGGAGGCUGAGGCACGAGAGUAGCUUGAACCUGGCAGGGGUUCCCCACCAAAGGUCUCUGUUUCCUUAAUUCUGAUUACAUGUGUCCCUAGGCCUCUAGGGACUGACCACAGUGGAGCAUGAGGCCUGAUAGAUCCUGGUGGUCACUUGUUGGGCCUGGGGGCAGACCCAGGGUCUUCCCAGUGCAUGAGAAGAGAUGGGUGAGGUGGGACCAGAGUGGGCGACAGUGGCUGGACACCAGCUGCCUGAGCCCCGUCUUACCUCUUUGAGGGUGGAUUUCAUCGUGUCUAUCAUGAACGACAGGGACUCCUUCUCAGAGUAAUUCUGUCUUGAAUCAAAAUAUCCGUGGACUGCUCUGGAAAGUGAGGAGUUGGGGGUUGUUGGGGUUCAUCUUAGAACCGCCUCCCAGCGGUGCCCCCAUCCUGCCCUGGGUUCAGGCCUCUGAGGAGAAACCAAAGCCUGGGCUACCCCAACUCCCACAGCUGGGUCCCUUGACCCUGGGUUGGAUUUGAGGCUCAGUUAAUCUCAGCUCAUGCUCAGCUGGCACAAGCCAGGCACAAGUGAAUGCUGAAGGCACAGCCUUUCUGGGGCACAGGGAGUUCAGGACUUGGUCACAGUCAGCCCUGAAAAGCAGAGCUGGGAUCUGAACAGGCGCUGGAGCCCAUACUUGCUCUGAGAGAGAAUUUAUGUCUUCACAAUCCUCCCGUUGAUAGUCUACAAUUCUGUGGUUUUUAAUACAUUGAGUUGUGAGACCAUCGUCACAAUUACAGGACAUUUUCAUCGCCCCCAAAGAAAUCGCGAACCUCUGAGCUUACGCGGACACACACACACC
RNAcentral lists this long non-coding RNA (1181 nucleotides) under Homo sapiens (human). Its description in RNAcentral is "non-protein coding lnc-POLDIP3-3:1". Lineage: Eukaryota; Metazoa; Chordata; Mammalia; Primates; Hominidae. The record is from RNAcentral.